Stereum hirsutum FP-91666 SS1 is the source of this 98-nucleotide non-coding RNA. Lineage: Eukaryota; Fungi; Basidiomycota; Agaricomycetes; Russulales; Stereaceae. The record is from the annotation of a RefSeq genome assembly.
UCCUCGGUGGUAUACCGGUCAAUACACGCACGAUAUGUUCCCAAAGUUCGAAUGUGAGUAUUGAACGCGAGAACGAGGUUCGACUCCUCGCCGAGGAG